This is a non-coding RNA of Pelobates cultripes (western spadefoot toad), 236 nucleotides long. Lineage: Eukaryota; Metazoa; Chordata; Amphibia; Anura; Pelobatidae. The record is from the annotation of a GenBank genome assembly.
AUUUGAACCGAACCGACAGGCACAUACAGUGAUAAAACAUUGCAAAAUAAAAUGUAAACAUCGUUUGGGAGUUUAACCGAACUGAUGGUAACACAAAAUGCAAUACAUUAAGAAGUAUGCAAAACUGUAAUCACUUGAAAUAGACCUAAACCGUGAUGAAGCCGUGGAACCGUGACUAUGGCGCGACAGGUCAGUGUCUUACGGUUUGGCGUGGUUCUGGUUAAUUUCCCCUGGAG